AGGACGAACGCUGGCGGCGUGCUUAACACAUGCAAGUCGAACGGAAAGGCCCUUCGGGGUACUCGAGUGGCGAACGGGUGAGUAACACGUGGGUGAUCUGCCCUGCACUUCGGGAUAAGCCUGGGAAACUGGGUCUAAUACCGGAUAUACCUCAUGGACUGCAUGGUCGGUGGGGGAAAGCUUUUGCGGUGUGGGAUGAGCCCGCGGCCUAUCAGCUUGUUGGUGGGGUGAUGGCCUACCAAGGCGUCGACGGGUA
Molecule: ribosomal RNA, 256 nt
Filed under: uncultured bacterium
Lineage: Bacteria
Description: partial small subunit ribosomal RNA
Rfam family: Bacterial small subunit ribosomal RNA
Source: RNAcentral